RNAcentral lists this ribosomal RNA (462 nucleotides) under uncultured bacterium. RNAcentral's name for it is "bacterial SSU rRNA". It matches the Rfam family "Bacterial small subunit ribosomal RNA", at positions 337 to 796 of the family's 1533-position model. The record is from RNAcentral.
CCCUACGGGGGGCAGCAGUGAGGAAUAUUGGUCAAUGGACGCAAGUCUGAACCAGCCAUGCCGCGUGAAGGAUGAAGGCCUUCUGGGUUGUAAACUUCUUUUAUGGGGGAAGAAAACUAUGGUUUCUACUAUAGCCGACGGUACCCUAGGAAUAAGCACCGGCUAACUCCGUGCCAGCAGCCGCGGUAAUACGGAGGGUGCAAGCGUUAUCCGGAUUUACUGGGUUUAAAGGGUGUGUAGGCGGGCUUUUAAGUCAGUGGUGAAAUCUCCGGGCUCAACCUGGAAACUGCCAUUGAUACUAUUAGUCUUGAAUAUUGUUGAGGUAGGCGGAAUAAGUCAUGUAGCGGUGAAAUGCAUAGAUAUGACUUAGAACACCGAUUGCGAAGGCAGCUUACUAAGCAAUGAUUGACGCUGAGGCACGAAAGCGUGGGGAUCAAACAGGAUUAGAUACCCGUGUAGUCC